CCUACGGGUGGCAGCAGUGAGGAAUAUUGGUCAAUGGACGAGAGUCUGAACCAGCCAAGUAGCGUGAAGGAUGACUGCCCUAUGGGUUGUAAACUUCUUUUAUAUGGGAAUAAAAUGUUCCACGUGUGGGAUUUUGUAUGUACCAUAUGAAUAAGGAUCGGCUAACUCCGUGCCAGCAGCCGCGGUAAUAAGGAGGAUCCGAGCGUUAUCCGGAUUUAUUGGGUUUAAAGGAAGCGUAGGUGGAUUGUUAAGUCAGUUGUGAAAGUUUGCGGCUCAACCGUAAAAUUGCAGUUGAAACUGGCAGUCUUGAGUACAGUAGAGGUGGGCGGAAUGCGUGGUGUAGCGGUGAAAUGCUUAGAUAUCACGAAGAACUCCGAUUGCGAAGGCAGUUCACUGGACUGCAACUGACACUGAGGCUCGAAAGUGUGGGUAUCAAACAGGAUUAGCUACCCCGGUAGUC
This 460-nucleotide ribosomal RNA is filed under the name uncultured bacterium. RNAcentral's name for it is "partial 16S ribosomal RNA". It matches the Rfam family "Bacterial small subunit ribosomal RNA", at positions 338 to 795 of the family's 1533-position model. The record is from RNAcentral.